UUACCAUUUCUCACCACUCUCUUUCUGUUUCUAACUUCUUUACAUUACUAUUUCUUUCUUUCUUUCUUUGCUCUGCAACCCCCUUCCUUUCCACCUUGAAAAUAACCUCCUUUUGCUUUAUUUGAAUCUUUAAUUUACCACAAUUCGGAUUGUAUUUGAAGCAUUUGAUUCACAAAUCUAGUUAGGAGCCCCCAAUUUCAAACCCCUUUAACCUUCUUCUAUCUCAUUUUAAACAAGUCAGGUUUUCUUAAUGUCUAGUCCCUUAGAGAAUUUUAUUCCACCGGAGCAUAAUCAUCUUUGAUGAUUAUUACCUUAUGGGUCAUGUUGAUGACACGGUAAUUCUUCUUUGAUUUAUGAUCCAGAUAAAUUCAAUAAAGAAAACCGGAUAAACUUUCGGGGGAUACCUCUAACUCUAACACUAAACUCACUAGAGGUAGCUUAAGGCGAAGUGGUUAUGAACGAAAAAGAAAAAAAGGUUUAGGCGAAGAGAUUGAUUAUUGAAACAUGUUGUAAGAAGAAGCUAAAUGUCAAUAAAGAAAAUAGUACAAAAGUAGUCUAUUUUCCGUUGUUGAUAUUUAGUUUUUUUUUCUCUACAACUUGGGUCCUGCUAUCUAAUCUUUCAACUUAAACCUUUUUUCUUUCUCGACCAUCUCUAAUGAAGGUCCUUCAGGUGAUCUUUAGUGUUACAGUUUGAGGUAUCCCCACCACCAGUUUUGUUCCAUUCUUGUUGAAUUUAUCUGAGUUGUAAUUUGGAGCAAAACUAUCAAAUCAACACCAUCAAUAUUCGUCGAUAUUGUUCUCCGGUUGAGACAUGAUUUUCAAGGGUUCAACACUUGCAAUACCUGACUUUUAUAUCAAAAUGAGUUGUUGGGAAUUGAAAACAUCAGGUGAAAAUUGUGAGGCUUAACUGGGUUUGUGAAUUAGAUGCAUCAAGUCCUGUUCCGGUAUCUUAAUUCUUGGUAUGUUUAGGGUCUAUAUUGUUAAAUUUUAUGUGAACAAGAUUAUCAUCUUUUUUUUGCUAUUGAUUUUUGUUUGAAUAUGUUUUUUUACAUCUUAUAAACGUUUUAUAUGGCAUCCCAUAAAACGUGAAUGUUACAUACGUUAUUCAUGUUAUUUAAUGUAUAAAGAAAUUAUAAAAUUUUCUUGUAUUUGUUAUUUCUGAAAUCCAUGUAAGAAAAAGAAAAGUGGUUUACACUUAUAAACAAAUAAUUGUAACAUAGGCAUAACAAGUUGUGGUUCGGUAAAUGUUAUGGAUUUAAUCUAUUAUAUUGACAUUGUUACAUCACUUCUUAACAACAUGAGUUCAAUGUUAUAA
Molecule: long non-coding RNA, 1315 nt
Filed under: Helianthus annuus (common sunflower)
Lineage: Eukaryota; Viridiplantae; Streptophyta; Magnoliopsida; Asterales; Asteraceae
Description: hypothetical non coding rna
Source: RNAcentral